RNAcentral lists this ribosomal RNA (450 nucleotides) under uncultured bacterium. Its description in RNAcentral is "bacterial SSU rRNA". It matches the Rfam family "Bacterial small subunit ribosomal RNA", at positions 355 to 825 of the family's 1533-position model. The record is from RNAcentral.
UCAAGAAACUUCCGCAAUGGGCGAAAGCCUGAUGGAGCGACGUCGCGUGAUGGACGAAGUGCUUCGGCACGUAAACAUCUUUUAUGUGGGAUGAAAUUAUUGACAGUACCACAUGAAUAAGGGGCUCCUAACUCUGUGCCAGCAGGAGCGGUAAUACAGAGGCCCCAAGCGUUAUCCGGAAUCACUGGGCGUAAAGGGUGUCGAGGCGGUUGUAUUAGUCGUUCGUAAAAUCUACGAGCUUAACUUGUAGGCGGCGAACGAAACGGUACGACUUGAGGUUUGGAGAGGUGCGUGGAACUCACGGUGUAGGGGUGAAAUCCGUUGAUAUCGUGGGGAACACCAAAGGCGAAGGCAGCGCACUGGCCAAAAUCUGACGCUCACACACGAAAGCUAGGGUAGCGAAGAGGAUUAGAUACCCCAGUAGUCCCUGAGCGGGCUGGCAAGGCGCAU